GCAAACUUGGUCAUUUAGAGGAAGUAAAAGUCGUAACAAGGUCUCCGUUGGUGAACCAGCGGAGGGAUCAUUACAGAGUCGUAAAACACUCCCAAACCCAUGUGAACUUACCUUUGUUGCCUCGGCAGGACCUACCCGGUAGUUACCCUGUAGCUACCCUGUAGCCUGCCGGUGGACUUUCAAACUCUUGUUAUUUUAUGGAAAUCUGAGCGUCUUAUUUAAUAAGUCAAAACUUUCAACAACGGAUCUCUUGGUUCUGGCAUCGAUGAAGAACGCAGC
This 279-nucleotide unclassified non-coding RNA is filed under the name uncultured fungus. RNAcentral's name for it is "partial contains small subunit ribosomal RNA, internal transcribed spacer 1, and 5.8S ribosomal RNA". The stretch from base 1 to 73 matches the Rfam family "Eukaryotic small subunit ribosomal RNA", at positions 1759 to 1831 of the family's 1831-position model. The record is from RNAcentral. Lineage: Eukaryota; Fungi.